CCCCAGAUCCCUUAUCCCCUCUAAAACUGAAAAAGCUCUCCUGCGGCAACGGCCCCGAUCUCGUCUUUAUCCUGUUCAAACCUAAAGAUGAUGCCAAUAUCGGAGACACAGAAGACGCCGCUGCAGCGGCGGGGGCCCUCCCCACCCCCCGCCGUCGCAGCUGCAGCCUUCUUAGAGCCAGAAUUGGACAAACCCAGCCUACCCGGCGACUGAGAAGCACUUUCCUUACCUUUCAAAGAGUCCUUCUUCUUGACUCCGUCCUUAACUUGCGUUUGUCUACAAGC
This 284-nucleotide unclassified non-coding RNA is filed under the name Hevea brasiliensis (rubber tree). Lineage: Eukaryota; Viridiplantae; Streptophyta; Magnoliopsida; Malpighiales; Euphorbiaceae. The record is from RNAcentral.